ACUUCACAGGGCUGGACAACAGAGCCUUCAGCAGAUGGAGUUGAGCCCAGGGACCCUCACCACUUCAGCAACAUGUGAGCCCUCGGCUCCUGGUGCAACAAAAGGGAGCAAAGCAGCCAGGGAAAACGACUCAUGUUGGUUUUCCCAUCAGUCUUGGAAACUGGUGGCUUGCAGUCAGAUUUUGUGGGGUUUAGGAAAGUAAGUGAAUGCAGUGGGUUUUUCUGCAUCUUGAAUGUUGGCGAGCAAUUCACUGAGGAAAUUCCAAUGGUAGUAGCUUUCCUAUGGGUGAAAAUGGCAGAGGCUGUAGGGAGAGGGCUAGAGGCUGCCUUAGAAAUCCUGGCAGGAGAUGGGGCCUGGCCCAGAAGGCUGGCAGUAAGGAUGAUUCCGAGGAUGUUUGGAAGGCAGAACGGGCAGGCUUGGGUGACUGAUGAGAUCACUCCAGUUACUGGCUUGUGUGACAGAACACAUGGGUAGUUAGAGAACACAGGACUCAGGACAUGGGUCAUAGGUUUGGGUUUUAUCAUGCAAAGUCUGUGUGAGAGGCCUCACAGGCAGCUGGAAAUGCAGGCCCACUUGGGCUAGAGACAUGGACUUGGGAAGUGUUGAAAUGAGUGUGGUGAUCAGGAUCCUGGGAGGGGGUGGGAACACCUAGAGGGGAGAAUUCAGUGGGCGAAAGAGAGCCUCAGGCAGAAUGCCACCACCCAAGGGAUGGCCCAGAAAAGAGACACCCAGAAAGAAGACCGAGGAGGAGCAACCAAGGGCAGGAGGAAAGCCGGGGGGGCAGGUUGCCAAGGCCAAGGACAGAGGGAGUCUCUAGAAGCAAGCGGUGGUCA
This 833-nucleotide long non-coding RNA is filed under the name Homo sapiens (human). RNAcentral's name for it is "HSALNT0263789". Lineage: Eukaryota; Metazoa; Chordata; Mammalia; Primates; Hominidae. The record is from RNAcentral.